Molecule: long non-coding RNA, 937 nt
Organism: Lemur catta (Ring-tailed lemur)
Lineage: Eukaryota; Metazoa; Chordata; Mammalia; Primates; Lemuridae
Exons: 3
Source: RefSeq, a predicted model, not a curated record
UAAUUUCAAAGGCAUUACAGUUCUUCUUGAAAUACUAGGCCAGGACAACCACACUAAGACCAUAACAAGAGAAAGACAGAAAUUAAAAACUGAUUUCAAAUUAGGGAAAUAGAAGGUCAACUAAAAUCUUGACUGGGUGGACAGAACCAUUAAAUAGCUUCUCAGGCCCCAUAAAAUCCAUGACAUAGAAAAUCGAAACAUCGUGGCCCUUGUCUAAGUGCUGUCUCAGAAGAACUGUGAUUUGCAAAGGGUCACCUGCUUCUGUAACCCACGAAGAUUUUCAAGUGCAGAUCCACAGGGACAUCUUUGGGAGGUGUAAUUGGGAUGCGGAUGGAACUGGAGAGGGUGUGAAUGCUGGGAUGUACGACAUGGCUUUCACCUGCAAAAAUUCCCUCUGCAAAGAUCAACACUGCCCGGAUGACGGUGUCUGCAGGAAGAGGGAAAACAGUUCAAGAACUACUCCAAGAUGGCAAAAGUGCCUACAAACACCAGCUGUCAAUAAUUUCUUACCAUUAGAAGUGGAAAUGCACAGUUCUGCAUGAGCAGCUUGAGUCUCGCUCCCCAGAUUGACUGAGAGGACGGUGUGGAGCUUGGUGUUGGCUGGGAUGAUGCCCCGUUGCCCAUCAGUUUCAUUCAGUGGACCACUCAAUUCAGCCUGCAAAACACCCGCCUGCUUCCAACUGGGUCACCAAAACAGCGAACCAACAAUUUUAAAUAAUAUGGCUAUUCAGCUUCAAAAGGCAGGGUGUCCAUCAUCUUAUUUUAUUAAUCUGAUUCUUUAGAAUUCAGAGAACUCACCUCAUCAGUGCCCCCUUGCUCUGUCUGGCCUGUGGGAAAAUAACUUUGCCCCUCUCUAUGGUUAUGGUCCACUGUACCCCGUCAUGCCUUGCACUUUUUUUUUGUAUUGUUCUUUUAAAGUAACAAAAAAAAUUCACUU